AACGAAGCUCAAGGAGCUAGUUUUUUUAGAGGAUUUGAUAAGAAUAUAUGUAACAUAAUAUUUAAUUAAUAAAAACUAGGAGUGAAAGGCUAAUCAAAUUGAGUGAUAACUUGUUUCUUUUGAAAUAUAUUGAGUAUGUAGACAAACUUGGAGUUAUAAGGUUCUAAGUAAAAACAAAUGAAUAUUAUUAAUUUAUGUACAGUUUAAUAACGAACAUAAUUCAAAAAUUAAUACUAAAUUAUGUAGAAUGUUGAUAUUAGGAAGAAAUAAGGUUAAUUUAAUAUAUUAUUUAUUCUGUUAAUAUGAGUAUUGUAUAAGAUAAAGAUAAUGAACUCGGCAAACUAUACUUUCAACUGUUUAUCAAAAACAUAGCCUGCUGUUCUAUAUAGUAGGUAAUUUCUGCUCAGUGAUAUUUAAACAGCCGCAGUACCCUGACUGUGCAAAGGUAGCGCAAUCAAUUGGCUUUUAAUUGAAGUCCUGUAUGAAGAAUAUAUGGGGGUUAACUGUAUCAUUUUUAUUUAUUAAAAAUUACUUAGUAGGUGAAAAUACCUAUUUUAAAAUAAUAGACGAGAAGACCCUAGAAAUUUUAAGAAUGUGUUGAAAGAACUUUUUGUUGGGGCAACAGAGUAUUAACAUACAGGGUUAACAUGAAAUUGUUUAGAACGAAGAAAUUACUCUAGGGAUAACAGCAUAAUAUUAAAAAGUUUGUGACCUCGAUGUUGGACUAGGAAAUUAGUGUUUAGAA
RNAcentral lists this ribosomal RNA (745 nucleotides) under Baudinella magna. Its description in RNAcentral is "partial 16S ribosomal RNA". The record is from RNAcentral. Lineage: Eukaryota; Metazoa; Mollusca; Gastropoda; Stylommatophora; Camaenidae.